RNAcentral lists this transfer RNA (81 nucleotides) under Nanobdellota archaeon. RNAcentral's name for it is "tRNA-Ser". It matches the Rfam family "tRNA". Rfam says of the family: Transfer RNA (tRNA) molecules are approximately 80 nucleotides in length. Lineage: Archaea; Nanobdellati; Nanobdellota. The record is from RNAcentral.
GCCUCAAUCGCAUAAGGGUAUUGCACCGGAUUGCUAAUCCGGGCCGUUCGCGGCAUCCAGGUUCGAGUCCUGGUUGGGGCG